Molecule: long non-coding RNA, 529 nt
Organism: Homarus americanus (American lobster)
Lineage: Eukaryota; Metazoa; Arthropoda; Malacostraca; Decapoda; Nephropidae
Exons: 4
Source: RefSeq, a predicted model, not a curated record
UCUCUCACACCUUUAAUGUGUGUGGAUGGGACUAAGGUUUUCUCAUUUCUUUCAGAUUGUGUGCCUCCGAGGUGAACGUCUGACUGAAGUGAAGGCGUGGCUGACUGUGGACCUACAAGGUGCUUCUUGGAGGUAAUAAAGAUACAUCAGUGAUGGUGAGGCCGUCACAUUACCAGCGGUUGUGGAUUUCUCAAUUCAACCUUUAUAUUGCAGACUCCACAUAAGGUAAAACACUUCCAUUCAGCAAUUGGUGUGCAGUGUCCAGAUUGUCAACAUUUAGUUCAGUAUGAUGUUACUUCUGGCCAGCUUAACCUGAGGAGAAAGUCAGUACAGUUCACGAUUAGAUUUUGAAAAGGAAACUGCAAAGUACGCAAGCUAUUGAUUUUUAAUAAUUUAAACAAGUGAAAUUUUUUCUAGCUUAACUUUCUGAAUUCAUGAUCAGUUAACUUGUGGCAAAUUUUAAGUUACAUUCUUUAAUAUAUUUGUUAUCCAAUAUAUAAACUAUAUAAUAGGUAACUUAAUAUUAAUU